GAUGAGUUCUCCCUGACUCCCUGAGAGUCCUGAAGGAACGUUGAAGACGACGACGUUGAUAGGCCGGGUGUGUAAGCGCAGCGAUGCGUUGAGCUAACCGGUACUAAUGAACCGUGAGGCUUAACCUUACAACGCCGAAGGUGUUU
RNAcentral lists this ribosomal RNA (146 nucleotides) under Escherichia coli. RNAcentral's name for it is "partial 23S ribosomal RNA". The stretch from base 1 to 128 matches the Rfam family "Bacterial large subunit ribosomal RNA", at positions 2803 to 2925 of the family's 2925-position model. Lineage: Bacteria; Pseudomonadati; Pseudomonadota; Gammaproteobacteria; Enterobacterales; Enterobacteriaceae. The record is from RNAcentral.